This 1415-nucleotide long non-coding RNA is filed under the name Anolis carolinensis (green anole). Its description in RNAcentral is "lncRNA (ENSACAG00000044774.1)". The record is from RNAcentral. Lineage: Eukaryota; Metazoa; Chordata; Lepidosauria; Squamata; Anolidae.
AAAAGGGAAAGUGAAAGCCGUUAUAAUCUACUUUUUGUUUUGAGCAGGCAAUCUGAGGUUUGCAGCCCAGACUUUCUGACAUGAAAGAUGAACAUACUGGGAGAAAAAGACAUUUGGACAUUGCCAAGCCUGUACAACCCACCUGGAUUAGAGGGACUGCUUACUGACCAUUUUUUAUUUUGCUUGCCAAGCUACUUGAGGGGCUCUGAGAACAUCUGAAUCCAUGACAUAUUGGCUGGUGACAUGUUGUUCCAUGUGGAAUCAAAGAAGCAAAAAAUAUACAUGGAUUAUUUGGAAAUUAUCUCUCCUUUGAAGUUUAUGAGAAGUGAGAAAGACUUGGAAAGGUGGAAAUCACGAAGUUUUCCCAAUGUCCCUGGACUGCAGUCCCCCAACAGCGAUGGAGAAUGCUGAAAGUUGCAGUGCAGAGGGCUGUAAGAUAUUCAUCCUUGUGCUAUGAGACUUGUUCUGUAAUGUGAGAUACCUUUUUGGCUGGUAUACACUUAAUGCCACAUGCUAUGCUUUCUGCUUUUUUGUGAAUAGUGCUUUAAGUUAGUCUUUGUUUAUAGCUACAAUAGCAAAGAGUUUUCUGCAGCUGAGCAAUCAGGCUGGUGAAAAGAGGAAUCAGUCAGUCUGUGUCCCGUUGCCAACUUCUCUAUUGGCAGUAAAGGGAAGAGCUCUGCUUCCUCCACAGUCAUGGUGGAAAGUGAAAAAUCUUGCAAAUAAGAAACUGGUGGAUGUGUUUUCCUUUGGUCAGCCCACCUGGGGAAGAAGGGACUUCCCUUCAUGCCAAGCAGGAGGGCAAAGGAUAAAGAAACAGAGCAAUUUUCUAUCUCUGCCAGCUCACCUCACUUUACCCUGUCAUAAUUUUUAUUAAUAACUUUUACCCUUCAGUAGGAUCCCUUCUUCUAAAAAACUAAAGACACGUCCACAUUAGACCAAAAUGCAGGUCCUAUCUCGCUUUUAACGGAGGUGUCCAAAGGAAAGCCUGGGGUUGUGGAAGGGGGUGAGGACUGAAACCCAGGAGGAAGCGGGUUAUUUUAACCCGCUUCCUCCUGGAUUUUUGGGCCGUGUAAAAGGGCCCUAAAGAAGAAAAUUUUGUUCACAGAUCUGUAACGUUGGUGGCCAUAAUAACAAGUCUAUUUUAAGCAAAUCUGUUUAACAUGGAUAGAUCCCAAAGACAAUUUCAACUGUAGUUUCAACUUUAGUGAAAAUGCAAGGUCAAAGGCUUUUUCUAAGAAAUAUUUCAGAGGUAAAGCUGUGACACUUUUCAUUUUUAUAAAAUAAUCUUUAUUAGAGAUUUGUUAUUACAUGUUGAAGAAGCAAGAAAGGGGAAGUUGGAUAAGGGUAGGUGUUGGUGUGGCUGGGUUAGGGUUGGGGUUGGUGUAUUGGGGAUGGGGGGUUUCAGGUAAAUGGGG